AUGCCCACCCCUCUCAAUGACCCCACUGGACAGAGGGGCUGCUUGGGACAGAGGGGCAGCUUCUCGGGACAGAGGGACAGCUGCUCGGGACAGAGGGACAGCUGCUCGGGACAGAGGGACAGCUGCUCGGGACAGAGGGACAGCUGCUCGGGACAGAGGGACAGCUGCUCGGGACAGAGGGACAGCUGCUCGGGACAGAGGGACAGCUGCUCGGGACAGAGGGACAGCUGCUCGGGACAGAGGGACAGCUGCUCCGGACAGAGGGACAGCUGCUCCGGGCGGAGGGGCUCUAGCGGCCCCUGGCUGACUGGCGGCACUGGCGGCCCCUGGCUGACUGGCGGCCCCUGGCUGACUGGCGGCACUGGCGGCCCCUGGUUGACUGGCGGCGCUGGCGCUGGGCUGACUGGCGGCACUGGCGGCCCCUGGUUGACUGGCGGCACUGGCGGCCCCUGGCUGACUGGCGGCACUGGCGGCCCCUGGCUGACGGGCGGCAUUGGCGGCUCCUGGCUGACGGGCGGCAUUGGCGGCUCCUGGCAGACGGGCGGCGCUGGGCAGACGGGCGGCGCUGGCGGCGCUGGGCAGACGGGCGGCGCUGGCGGCGCUGGGCAGACGGGCGGCGCUGGCGGCGCUGGGCAGACGGGCGGCGCUGGCGGCGCUGGGCAGACGGGCGGCGCUGGCGGCGCCGGGCAGACGGGAAGCUCCGAUGGCGCCGGGCAGACGGGAAGCUCCGGCAGAGGCGCCGGACAGGCGGGAGGCUCCGGCAGAGGCGCCGGACAGGCGGGAGGCUCCGGCAGAGGCGCCGGACAGGCGGGAGGCUCCGGCAGAGGCGCCGGACAGGCGGGAGGCUCCGGCAGAGGCGCCGGACAGGCGGGAGGCUCCGGCAGAGGCGCCGGACAGGCGGGAGGCUCCGGCAGAGGCGCCGGACAGGCGGGAGGCUCCGGCAGAGGCGCCGGACAGGCGGGAGGCUCCGGCAGAGGCGCCGGACAGGCGGGAGGCUCCGGCAGAGGCGCCGGACAGGCGGGAGGCUCCGGCAGCGCUGGAGAGGAGGAAGGCUCUGGACGGAUGGGCCGAAGAGACAGCCUAGUACGGGGAGCUGCCACCGGAGGGCUGGGGUGUGGAGGUGGUGACGGAUAG
Molecule: long non-coding RNA, 1134 nt
Filed under: Oncorhynchus mykiss (rainbow trout)
Lineage: Eukaryota; Metazoa; Chordata; Actinopteri; Salmoniformes; Salmonidae
Description: lncRNA (ENSOMYG00000065836.1)
Source: RNAcentral